GGAGCUUUAAAAUUUUCAUUCCUGUUAGUUGAAGACUUUGAAUAUCUAUAAUUACAAUGGACAGGAGCAUAAAAUCUAAACAAAAUCCAGUAUGCAAUCUAUUAAGCUAAGCCCAAAAAAGAUGACGUCCCUGACACAUCAAGCAAGUUGUCAGAACUGAUCAAUUUUGUGCUCCUAGAUGACAAUGUCACCUUUCUUCAUCUUUAACGAAACUCUUGAAACUUGAUCAAAGCCUAUAUCAUUUGGACUCAGGUAUGUGUCCUGGCUGGGACUUACCUAUUCUCCAAAAUUUUUGGACUUCCCAACAAUUUCAACAGAGUGUCAUA
This 326-nucleotide unclassified non-coding RNA is filed under the name Hevea brasiliensis (rubber tree). The record is from RNAcentral. Lineage: Eukaryota; Viridiplantae; Streptophyta; Magnoliopsida; Malpighiales; Euphorbiaceae.